CCUACGGGAGGCUGCAGUGGGGAAUAUUGCACAAUGGGCGAAACCCUGAUGCAGCGACGCCGCGUGCGUGAAGAAGUAUCUCGGUACGUAAAGCUCUAUUAGUAGGGAAGAAAAUGACGGUACCUGACUAUGAAGCCCCGGCUAACUACGUGCCAGCAGCCGCGGUAAUACGUAGGGGGCAAGCGUUAUCCGGAUUUACUGGGUGUAAAGGGAGCGUAGUUGGCACUGCAAGACAGGAGUGAAAGCCCGGGGCUCAACCUCGGGACUGCACUUGGAACUGCAUGGCUGGAGUGCAGGAGGGGCAGGCGGAAUUCCUGGUGUAGCGGUGAAAUGCGUAGAUAUUAGGAAGAACACCGGUGGCGAAGGCGGCCUUCUGGACUGUGACUGACGUUGAGGCCCGAAAGCGUGGGGAGCAAACAGGAUUAGAUACCCGGGUAGUC
This 440-nucleotide ribosomal RNA is filed under the name uncultured bacterium. RNAcentral describes it as "partial 16S ribosomal RNA". It matches the Rfam family "Bacterial small subunit ribosomal RNA", at positions 338 to 795 of the family's 1533-position model. The record is from RNAcentral.